UACGUAGGGGGCGAGCGUUGUCCGGAAUCAUUGGGCGUAAAGAGCUCGUAGGCGGCUCAGUAAGUCGGCUGUGAAAUACCGGAGCUCAACUCCGGAACUGCAGUCGAUACUGCUGUGGCUAGAGUCCGGUAGAGGAGAGUGGAAUUCCCGGUGUAGCGGUGGAAUGCGCAGAUAUCGGGAGGAACACCAGUAGCGAAGGCGGCUCUCUGGGCCGGUACUGACGCUGAGGAGCGAAAGCGUGGGGAGCAAACAGG
Molecule: ribosomal RNA, 254 nt
Filed under: uncultured bacterium
Lineage: Bacteria
Description: partial 16S ribosomal RNA
Rfam family: Bacterial small subunit ribosomal RNA
Source: RNAcentral